Molecule: long non-coding RNA, 767 nt
Organism: Myodes glareolus (Bank vole)
Lineage: Eukaryota; Metazoa; Chordata; Mammalia; Rodentia; Cricetidae
Source: RefSeq, a predicted model, not a curated record
GCACCGACACCCUUGAGAGGCUUCUCGUGGAGAUACUGAGGUGGCAACCUGGGGACACACAAAGCUGUAAAGCCUGGAGACUCUUGGGUGGUCUUCCAGAUCUCUCUCUUUUCCUCCAGGAGGUCUGGAAGGUUGUAGACUCAGUUUUGCAGCAUGAACAAAAGGUCAGCUGCCAUGGAGGGGACUUCCCAGACCUUUGGAAGCUGUUAACAUCUGGAAACAACACCACUCUCCCUCGGCUGUCCCAGCAACUGGUGAAGUCUUUUCAUCAAGAGAUCCAACCAGAACCUUAGAAACAUAUCUUGGCUUUCCUCCCAUUAAAGGCAGCUCUCCAUAGCAGCUGGAAUCGCAGGAGGAAACAGGAAAUCCAAGACGGUUCCUCCCGGAGGAGAGCUGAGGCUUCUACUGGGCGGGGCAUGGGAUGCAUGAGGGCAGGGGUUUCUGUCCCGGGCCCUGAAGACUGUGUCCAUAUCCAAAUUGGGGUGAAGCCAACCCAGGUCUGACCUGGGAAAGCCCCCGGGGGACUUUCCUCUCACAUCCUGGCAUGUGUUUCCUGGGGGAGGAAGUCCAUAGUCUCUUCCUAGAGGGAUUCCCCUUCCUGGGGACACCUCAUCCACCACCUCCACAGACCAGUCACUAUGGAGACUGUUUUGCAGAGGCGGGGUAAGUUCCUCCUGGCUUCCCUGGGCCCUGGAGCCAGUUUGGGGUGAGGGCUGAGGGCAGGGCAUUCUGACUUGCUGAAAAGUUCUAGGUUUGCUCAUCACGAA